CGUAUCAAAACUUGUUUUUGACGUCUAGUGACGUUUGGUUUGUCAUCACAAAAAACACACACACCAACCCGACACAAGAAGAAAACUUGUUGUGGAUUUCAUAUUAGUUUAUCAUAUUCGUCAUAACUUAUUAAAUUUACAAGAAUGGUUGAGAUUACGUUGGAAACUGUAAAGCUGCACAACAAACCAAGUGACCUCUGGGUAGUAAUAGAAAACAAAGUUUAUGAUUUGACCAAAUUUCGGGGCGAACAUCCAGGCGGAGAGGAGACACUUGACGAAGUAGCGGGACGGGAUGCAACAAAGGAUUUUAUCGACGUUGGCCAUAGCCAGGAGGCAAGGGAAAUUAUGAAGAAGUACUAUGUUGGCGAUUUGGCAGCCAAGGAUUGCAAAGGCAAACUGCCGCUCAGUUGUAGAUACUUUUACGCCGCAAGAAAAAUUAAAUACUUCAAAUCAAGCAAAUGAGAAAUAUUCCAUGUACCUACAAAUAUGUCAAAUAAGUACAUAUCUAUCAACAAGGAAAUCGGAAUAUGCCUUGCGUCAGUGGUAAUUGGAGCGGUUGCCGUGCUUUUGGUGAAAAAAGUUUUAGCUAAGAACUAACGUGAUGCUGUGAAAUUGAGACCGUCAUUCCUACCGUUUAAAAUGUGUUACCUUGUGUGAAAUAAAAUGAAAAUAAUUUUAAA
Musca domestica (house fly) is the source of this 680-nucleotide RNA transcript. It is a transcript of the gene named cytochrome b5, with no coding region annotated. The record is from RefSeq and is a predicted model, not a curated record. The transcript has 5 exons. NCBI's taxonomy places the organism in Eukaryota, Metazoa, Arthropoda, Insecta, Diptera, Muscidae.